GGACGCGUAGCUCAGCUGGUUAGAGCGUUCGAUUCACAUUCGAAAGGUCAGAGGUUCGAAUCCUCUCGUGUCCACCA
RNAcentral lists this transfer RNA (77 nucleotides) under Candidatus Doudnaibacteriota bacterium. Its description in RNAcentral is "Candidatus Doudnabacteria bacterium tRNA-Val". It matches the Rfam family "tRNA". From Rfam's summary of the family: Transfer RNA (tRNA) molecules are approximately 80 nucleotides in length. Lineage: Bacteria; Candidatus Doudnaibacteriota. The record is from RNAcentral.